This 69-nucleotide transfer RNA is filed under the name Ambassis gymnocephalus (bald glassy). RNAcentral's name for it is "tRNA-Glu". It matches the Rfam family "tRNA". From Rfam's summary of the family: Transfer RNA (tRNA) molecules are approximately 80 nucleotides in length. Their secondary structure includes four short double-helical elements and three loops (D, anti-codon, and T loops). The record is from RNAcentral. Lineage: Eukaryota; Metazoa; Chordata; Actinopteri; Ambassidae.
GUUUUUGUAGUUGAAUGACAACGGUGGUUUUUCAAGCCAUUAGCCUUGGUUAGAAUCCAAGUAAAAACU